CGUAGCGCACAGGUUAGCGUAUCCGCCUAUUACGCUGAAAGCCUGGGUUCGAAUCCUGGCG
Non-coding RNA from Stomoxys calcitrans (stable fly), 61 nucleotides. NCBI's taxonomy places the organism in Eukaryota, Metazoa, Arthropoda, Insecta, Diptera, Muscidae. The record is from Rfam.